Molecule: ribosomal RNA, 480 nt
Filed under: uncultured organism
Description: partial 16S ribosomal RNA
Rfam family: Bacterial small subunit ribosomal RNA
Source: RNAcentral
ACGUACACUCCUGCGGGAGGCAGCAGUGGGGAAUUUUGGACAAUGGGCGCAAGCCUGAUCCAGCCAUGCCGCGUGCGGGAAGAAGGCCUUCGGGUUGUAAACCGCUUUUGUCAGGGAAGAAAAGGUUCUGGCUAAUACCUGGGACUCAUGACGGUACCUGAAGAAUAAGCACCGGCUAACUACGUGCCAGCAGCCGCGGUAAUACGUAGGGUGCAAGCGUUAAUCGGAAUUACUGGGCGUAAAGCGUGCGCAGGCGGUUAUGCAAGACAGAGGUGAAAUCCCCGGGCUCAACCUGGGAACUGCCUUUGUGACUGCAUGGCUAGAGUACGGUAGAGGGGGAUGGAAUUCCGCGUGUAGCAGUGAAAUGCGUAGAUAUGCGGAGGAACACCGAUGGCGAAGGCAAUCCCCUGGACCUGUACUGACGCUCAUGCACGAAAGCGUGGGGAGCAAACAGGAUUAGAAACCCGAGUAGUCCCAUGA